UUCUCGCUCAAAGAAUCGCAUUCGAAGCACACAAACAGAGAGGCCUUCCGAGGUCUCUCAGCUAGCAAUAGCUACUCUUGCUUCGGGAGAAAGUCCCCGGACACCCUUCAUUCUGAAGGAGUGCGGAAACGCGCCGCCAUAGAAGCAACACAGCGGCUUCUCUUCUACCAAUUCCUUGUCACUCCCUCCACCCUCUCGCCAUCUGUACUGCACUCUCGCCGACCUCAGAACUUCGAUUCUUAGUGGAGGAGAUCCCAUGGAUGACGAUACGAGUCCACGCUUCUCUACGACGUAUCUCGGAACUGGGCGAGGUGGGUUUGUGGGAGGUGCUUGGGCUGUUCUCGGCGUGCCAGGGAUGUUCUGGUCGGAGAGGUCAUUUCGUCGAGAAUAAUAGAUAUGCGAUUGCCUCUCCUGCUGCGCGAGUGGCAAAAGGGGUAACUCGAUGGGGCUUAUUCUUGAUGCGAGA
RNAcentral lists this RNase MRP RNA (466 nucleotides) under Drepanopeziza brunnea f. sp. 'multigermtubi' MB_m1. RNAcentral's name for it is "Marssonina brunnea f. sp. 'multigermtubi' MB_m1 RNase MRP". It matches the Rfam family "RNase MRP". Rfam says of the family: RNase MRP is an enzymatically active ribonucleoprotein with two distinct roles in eukaryotes. In mitochondria it plays a direct role in the initiation of mitochondrial DNA replication. In the nucleus it is involved in precursor rRNA processing, where it cleaves the internal transcribed spacer 1 between 18S and 5.8S rRNAs. Lineage: Eukaryota; Fungi; Ascomycota; Leotiomycetes; Helotiales; Drepanopezizaceae. The record is from Rfam by way of RNAcentral.